GACGAACGCUGGCGGCGUGCCUAACACAUGCAAGUCAACUUGACUGAAGGAGCAAUCUGACAGUAGAGUGGCGCAAGGGUGCGUAACGCGUAAGUAACUUGCCCAAGGUAAGGAAUAACGUCGAGAAAUCGGCGCUAAUACCUCAUAAUGCAGCGGAUCCGCAUGGAUAUGUUGUUAAAGGUUUACCGCCUUGGGAUAGGCUUGCGUCUGAUUAGCUAGUUGGUGUGGUAAACGGCACACCAAGGCUACGAUCAGUAACUGGUCUGAGAGGAUGAUCAGUCACACUGGAACUGAGACACGGUCCAGACUCCUACGGGAGGCAGCAGUGAGGAAUAUUGGGCAAUGCUCGAAAGAGUGACCCAGCAACGCCGCGUGGAGGAUGAAGGUAUUCUAUAUCGUAAACUCCUGUGAGAGCAGACGAAAGACAGAUUAUAAUCUGGAUGACUGUAUGCUCAGAGGAAGCCCCGG
This 468-nucleotide ribosomal RNA is filed under the name uncultured bacterium. RNAcentral describes it as "bacterial SSU rRNA". It matches the Rfam family "Bacterial small subunit ribosomal RNA", at positions 28 to 496 of the family's 1533-position model. The record is from RNAcentral.